CUCUUCCCAGGUACAUUGUAUCAGGGUUCUCUCUUCCACCAAUAAAAACUGGGCGCCACCAGAUAACUGAAACAUUGUUGAGUGUGGCGGAAAACAUCAAUCAAUCAAUAUUUGUCUAUUACAUUUAAUUUUAUAUUCUCUGCAAUUCAAUGUGUACAUGUGCAUUGUACAUGUAGUUAUCAUCAUACUGUACAUGUAUUUGUUUCAUGCGGGACAUAUUUACCCUAUCCCAGCAGUUGAAAAAAAAUCCAUAGAAUCUUAUACUUGCGAACUAAAAGUUCAUUGAUAAUCAAUAGCAUGACAAAUUCAUAAGAAAAUGAUACAACGAUUUGUAUUCAUUCAUAUAAGAGGAGGAAAUCAAUGUCCUUGAAGCAAUUUUUCCUGGUUAGUUGAUGGGCAAUAUCUCCCCUGUUGAAAACUGUUAACAAAAUAUGGUAACCUGCAUUCAUGUCUUGCAAUUAUCAAUCCUAAGAUGAUAAAAAUAUAUCAAUCCUAAGAUGAUAAAAAUAUUAAGAUGUGAAAUCUAGUCUGAUAUUCUUUAGAAUUACAUGUGUACUUGUGUGAUUUUCACCGGGAGCAAGCAUGGGAAGGGUGGAUAAAAGCGACUCGCAAUGGCAUAGGAAAGGACGAAAAGGAUGAUAUCUUACAUUUGUUGCGAGGUAUUGCAAGAUUCAAACCAUUGAAGAGUUUGAAAUGCCAGCUACCAGAUUGAAGGAAAGUCACUUGUGGACAUAAAAUGACAGAUUUAGAAAAUGGUUUGAAGGCAGAUGGUUAAACAAACAUAAGGUUGGUCUAGAGGUAGAGCGUUCACCAAACAUGCGGAAGGCCUGGGUUUGUAGACCAAAGUCGUUAAAACAUGUGACAGUUCCAUCGCCAAACGCUCGGCAUCAGGUGUGAAUGUGAAUGUCUCGAGUCCUCGGAGAUGACCUUAAAAACGGAUGUCCCUUAAAACAGUAGAUGUGGCACGCUAAAGAACCCUCACUGCUGUAAGCGCCGAGUAAAGGCCUAAAUUUGAAGCCCUUCACCGGUCUUGGUGACGACUCCAUAUGAGUGAAAUCCUAGGUUGAACAGAAUAAAGGCUGUUUUGGGUGCAAAUAGUGUAAUAUUGAUAAAGAAAAUGAUUUGGAGCUAUAACUGUGAGAGAUCAACAUAGACGAUUAAUGGACGUUUCAUGUUCAAGAGACUGGACCACCAUGGUUCAAUAAGCCAACCACACACGUUGUAAUGGAACGACCUAGGGCACGAGACUGGUGGACAUUACGAGACUUCAAAAGCGUUUAGAUUUUGAUAUUGGAGAAAGACACGGUAUGCUUAACUCAGAGCGGCUACCAAAUUAAUAUGAAGACAUAGAGAGACUUAGUGUCCAUCAAACUUUUCACUAAAAAAAUUCAAUGGCAGCUUUGAUAACUCGGUAUAGAUUUCUAUUCUUUCAGCUACAAAACGUACAAAUUGCGAGCGACGCCAUUUUUGUUGCCAUUCGACACAGAGUGGCAUUCUCUACCCAUAAUUCCGAGCGCUAAGGACCCUACAUCCCUCUGUCAACUACUUUUUCAGAAAUCUUAUUUUAAAAAAUCAUUUGCAAAAUGUAUAGUUUGGACUGAAUAUUCCGUCAUACUAUGAAAUGUGUUUGGUACAAUGUCAUUAAUGUUUACUGUAAAUUGUAGAAUUGCCGUGUUCUAACCAUAUUUGAAAUCAUGAAUCAUUCAUGUAUUAUGGAUCUUCAUGUUAAAAGGGGGGUUGUAGUAAAUUUGAAUCUACAUUUAGUAAUAGUAUGAGAGUGCUGAAAUAUUUAACCAUUGUGUUAAAGAUAAGAAUUCUGUACGAUGAAAAGGUGAAGAUAACGAACAGUGAUCAAUCCCAUAACUCCUAAAAGAAUACGAAAUAGAGUUGGGCUAACACGGACCCCUGGAUAUACCAGAUGUGGGAUCAGGUGCCUAGGAGGAGUAAGCAUCGCCUGUCGACCGGUCACACCCGCCGUGAGUCCUUUAUCUUGAUCAGAUAAACGGAGUAAACCAUAGUCAUAAUCAGUAUGCCAAGAAUGACCUAACAAUUGGUAUGAAACACGUCAGACACCAUUUGACCCAAUGAUAGGAUGUAUAUGUAUUAGCGAACUAGAUCGUUAUAACGACCAUAGAAUUUGCGAAAUACAAUAUGAUUUUGUUCUUAUUUCCAUUUUAAAAAUACAUCAAUGUUGUAUGGAAAAUAUUGUGUAUAUUUUCAGGAUAUCAACCCUUUUUAUUCAAAUAGAUAUUUUAAAAAGAUAUUCAUUACACAAUAGAUUAAAUGAAAUAUCUCAAUUCCAUCGGUAGAGGUUAUAUCGGACUCGCAUAUAGAGGAGGUUGCGUGGACAGGGGGUAUCAACCCUCACUCCCUAAGCUUGGUAGGAAAUAAAUACAUUUGCCCAUUUUCAUGUAAUUCCAAUUGUAAAAUAUUAAAUGUUCGUCCCUAGUUUCGAUUGGACCCCUAGAAAACAUUGCAUGGGGUGGAACCCACUCCCUUGGAGGAGAAUUUCUGGAUCUGUGCAUGCAUAUGUACCUGAGUUCGCCCUAAAGUAGCACCCCAAAAAAUAAUUUCAAAAGAAAAAUUAAAAAUUAUCAUGGUCAAACUUGAUUUUGAAAUGCAGACUAUAACAUUAUUCAUUACUAGUUGAUAUCUUUGGCCAGCCUUUCGAUCACCGGCAGGAUGGUCUGCUUUUUGCAUUAUCGAAGAAGGCAACUCUAAAUUGUUUGAAAUUGCGUGUUACAACAGUACAUCUAUUUGAUGUAAAGAUCAGGAUUACGAGAGCGGAGUGUUUAGAUACUUACAUAAGAUUUUGAUUCUCUCUCCUCCUUUUGAACAUGAAGUAAUAGUGUGUGUGUGUGUGUGUGUGUGUGUGUGCAAAAAGUAGAUGAAAAACACAAUCUUGGUCAUUGAUUACUUGUGUCAAUAAAUGAUCUGUUGAUUGAAACUAAAGUAAGCAGUCUUCCUACUUAUCAUUUCUUACAUCUUAUUGGCCAUAGUUUUACUCAUGUUAGAUUAGCGUUUAAUUUGCAUUUUCCCUAGCCUCAUUAGAAUCAGUGGUGGAUUUAAGGGGGGCGCAGUCGGCGCCCCCCUCCCCUUAAAAUUUUCAAAUUUAAGGUAAAUCGUGGUAUCUUGUUUAGAAAGAUGUACUAAACGAUAAAAGAAGCAAUAAUUUCUUCCAUUCCCGG
Molecule: long non-coding RNA, 3188 nt
Organism: Ostrea edulis (European flat oyster)
Lineage: Eukaryota; Metazoa; Mollusca; Bivalvia; Ostreida; Ostreidae
Exons: 3
Source: RefSeq, a predicted model, not a curated record